This 452-nucleotide ribosomal RNA is filed under the name Meyerozyma guilliermondii. RNAcentral describes it as "eukaryotic LSU rRNA". The stretch from base 53 to 206 matches the Rfam family "5.8S ribosomal RNA". The record is from RNAcentral. Lineage: Eukaryota; Fungi; Ascomycota; Pichiomycetes; Serinales; Debaryomycetaceae.
AAACACAAUUUAAUUAUUUUUACAGUUAGUCAAAUUUUGAAUUAAUCUUCAAAACUUUCAACAACGGAUCUCUUGGUUCUCGCAUCGAUGAAGAACGCAGCGAAAUGCGAUAAGUAAUAUGAAUUGCAGAUUUUCGUGAAUCAUCGAAUCUUUGAACGCACAUUGCGCCCUCUGGUAUUCCAGAGGGCAUGCCUGUUUGAGCGUCAUUUCUCUCUCAAACCCCCGGGUUUGGUAUUGAGUGAUACUCUUAGUCGGACUAGGCGUUUGCUUGAAAAGUAUUGGCAUGGGUAGUACUAGAUAGUGCUGUCGACCUCUCAAUGUAUUAGGUUUAUCCAACUCGUUGAAUGGUGUGGCGGGAUAUUUCUGGUAUUGUUGGCCCGGCCUUACAACAACCAAACAAGUUUGACCUCAAAUCAGGUAGGAAUACCCGCUGAACUUAAGCAUAUCAAUAA